RNAcentral lists this long non-coding RNA (307 nucleotides) under Brassica napus (rape). RNAcentral describes it as "long non-coding RNA (BNAP_LNC023273)". The record is from RNAcentral. Lineage: Eukaryota; Viridiplantae; Streptophyta; Magnoliopsida; Brassicales; Brassicaceae.
UCUGGUAAAAUGAGUUUCCAUAGCCUAUGCUGUUGUUGCCAGUGCAUCGCUUCUCCAGUCAGAGAAUACUUAAAGAGCUUGCACAAUAGGUAGUCCUCGGGGACUCCGUCCAUACGAAGAGCAGCGAUAAGAUCCUCAAACCUCUCUAGACGGUCCAUAGGAUGCUCGUGCGGUAACCCAGAGUAGGGUAUCUGCGACACGAGUGUGUAGUACUGAGGCUUCAGCUCAAAAUUCUGCUUCUGAAUCUCUGGAAGUCGAUUAGCUGAUCUGUUGGCGUAGUACUUAUCUGGACGAUUGUAGUCAGCCA